RNAcentral lists this unclassified non-coding RNA (532 nucleotides) under Hevea brasiliensis (rubber tree). Lineage: Eukaryota; Viridiplantae; Streptophyta; Magnoliopsida; Malpighiales; Euphorbiaceae. The record is from RNAcentral.
UUUCCACAGCUUUAGAUACCAGAGAACCAUUCUCCUGGUUGGAAAAUUACUGUCUAGUAACGCAGUCCGGUUGCCUCCAACGACGAUCCAACAUGCGAAGGCCAUUCCACGCUUCAACAGAAUACUAUUGACUUCCCCUAGCGUCGGUUUUACUAGAAAUUGCUUCAAGCGAAAUCGGAAACUUGAAGUUCCUGAAACUUGAGGAGAGUUAAGGUGAUCAAUUUGCUGUUACUAUAAUGGAAUCCAAAUUUUUUCGGUUUCUUAAGAUAGUGGGUGUUGGAUACAAAGCAAGGGCUGAAGCAGAAGGACGCCUCUUAUUUCUCAAAUUGGGAUACAGUCAUGAGGUUGAACUCACAGUUCCUCUCGCUGUUCGUGUUUUCUGCUUCAAGAACAAUGUAGUUUGUUGCACUGGAAUUGACAAGCAAAGGGUGCACCAGUUUGCUGCUUCUGUUCGUAGUUGCAAACCUCCUGAAGUUUACAAGGGCAAGGGUAUAAUGUACAUUGAUGAAGUGAUCAAGAAGAAACAAGGAAA